Non-coding RNA from Cricetulus griseus (Chinese hamster), 1744 nucleotides. The record is from RefSeq and is a predicted model, not a curated record. Lineage: Eukaryota; Metazoa; Chordata; Mammalia; Rodentia; Cricetidae.
AAGGGGUCCUCUGCACCUGCGUGUAGACUUAGUUCCCAUGGAACCCUGGGCUGACCAGGGUACUACUGCCUGUUCCACCAGGUAACAGGGGGCGGCCAGCAUCAUGCCUGAACCUUUCACCCCUAGCGUGUCCACCAUCGCCUAUGGAGAUGUGUGAGCCUACCAAGAGGGCCACAAGCUCGGAAAGACUCCAGGUCUGGGGUCAUACCGUCUCCCGGCCAUUUUCCUGGCUGGCUGUGCCUCUUGCCAGUCCUACUGAGCUAAUGGGCGUUGACAUGAAUGGGGCCUCUGAGACCGUCCCGAGUGUUUAUUUCACACGAUACUGUGCCCCCCAGCUAUGCAACUGCACAGCCGGACAGGUGGCUUUUCACUACACUCUUAGGGUCUGUCUUUUCCAGCUCUAUUUCCGCUCUUUCUUUCCCUCUCUCUUUCUCUGGUUCCCCUGGGGCAGACAGGACUUUUCCUGUCUCCCUCUUCUCUUCUGUCCUCUUUGUCUCUCUGUCUCUUUGCCUCUUUUCUCUUUCCUUCCCCUUCCCUCCCUUUUCUAGUAAAACUUAUCACUUAAGCUCUGUCUGCCUGGCCUGUUUGUCCCCUGCCUCAGUCAUUCUCACCUGCCAUGGGAUCCACAAUGGGCCCCUAUGCAAGGUCCCCUCAAGCUUUAUCCUAACUCUAGGAAUUCUUGAGAACAAAGGAACCAACCCCUGCUGCCCUUUGGUAUAUCGGGGACUUCCACUCCACCACCCAGUUUCCAAAGCUUUAGACUCAAGAGGAUAUAUGGGGCACAGUGCCCUUCAGUCCAUCCCCCAGACUUUGAGCGUCAAGGAAAUCCAGGUGAACCUGAACUGGGAGCCGGUGCUGGCCAUCUUGCUGUCACCUGUGAGGUAGCUGGAGCCCAGGUCGAAUCAAUUGCAGGCCGCAUGAGACUCCAGAAUCAAGAUGGCAAACCUUUGGAUGUCAUCAGCGGACUCCAGUUCAGAUCCCCUUGGACAGACCUAGGUUACAGAAGAACCUGAACCCCAAGUGCGAACUGGGGUGACCCAAAGGGCUCCCUUCACUUCCUCCAGAGAGAGAGAGCACUGAGGUCGGCUUUCCCUAAGUAUGGGAGACACAAACUGUGAGUCCUUCCAGGUAAGAUGACAUCUGGCAGUGACAUAGUCUGACAAAGGACUUAGAAAAGAAAGUGUAAAAUAGCUCCUCAGUCUUCCCACAUUGGCACUCUCCCCAUGAGGGAUACUGGAACAUAGGUUUCUGUUUCAGUCGCCAUAAUCUGAGUGGCUUCCUCACAAAGAUUCUUUGGACUCUAGGUUUCUCAUGAGUCCUUUUAUAAUGAAGGCAGGAGAAAGGCUCUAGCUGAGUACAUUCCCACGUUGGCCACAUUUUUAAAUAUAAUUAUUUAACUCUACUUUCUGUGCAUUGGUGUACAGGUAUCAGAUCCCCUGGAACUGGAGUUUCAGUCAGUUGUAAGCUACCAUGUGGGUGCUGGGAAUUGAACCUGGGUCCUCUGGAAGAGCAGUAGCCCAUGCUCUUAACUGCUGAGCUGUAGUGGCAUCUUGCCUUGCCAGUGAACUUGUAGUGGUGGCCACACCCUUUGGGCGUGUUUUCAGGUGCAGAUUUCAGGUGACCCAUUAGGUUUCGGAGAUAUAGGACGCACAGAGACGACAUCUUCCAGAGCAGGAAGGCCAUGGGGAUUAUUUACUCUUUAUCUAUGUAAGUGCUUUCCUAAUAAAUACAUAUUUAUCAUCUA